UUGACCUCGAAUCAGGUAGGAAUACCCGCUGAACUUAAGCAUAUCAAUAAGCGGAGGAAAAGAAACCAACAGGGAUUGCCCCAGUAACGGCGAGUGAAGCGGCAACAGCUCAAAUUUGAAAUCUGGCUCUCGGGCCCGAGUUGUAAUUUGUAGAGGAUGCUUUUGGUGAGGUGCCUUCCGAGUUCCCUGGAACGGGACGCCAUAGAGGGUGAGAGCCCCGUCUGGUUGGACGCCGAACCUCUGUAAAGCUCCUUCGACGAGUCGAGUAGUUUGGGAAUGCUGCUCUAAAUGGGAGGUAUAUGUCUUCUAAAGCUAAAUACCGGCCAGAGACCGAUAGCGCACAAGUAGAGUGAUCGAAAGAUGAAAAGAACUUUGAAAAGAGAGUUAAAAAGUACGUGAAAUUGUUGAAAGGGAAGCGCUUGUGACCAGACUUGGGCUUGGUUGAUCAUCCGGGGUUCUCCCCGGUGCACUCUUCCGGCCCAGGCCAGCAUCAGUUCGCCCUGGGGGACAAAGGCUUCGGGAACGUGGCUCUCUCCGGGGAGUG
RNAcentral lists this ribosomal RNA (544 nucleotides) under Fusarium metavorans. RNAcentral's name for it is "eukaryotic LSU rRNA". It matches the Rfam family "Eukaryotic large subunit ribosomal RNA", at positions 1 to 555 of the family's 3401-position model. Lineage: Eukaryota; Fungi; Ascomycota; Sordariomycetes; Hypocreales; Nectriaceae. The record is from RNAcentral.